GAUGAACGCUGGCGGCGUGCCUAAUACAUGCAAGUCGAGCGAACAGACGAGGAGCUUGCUCCUCUGACGUUAGCGGCGGACGGGUGAGUAACACGUGGAUAACCUACCUAUAAGACUGGGAUAACUUCGGGAAACCGGAGCUAAUACCGGAUAAUAUAUUGAACCGCAUGGUUCAAUAGUGAAAGACGGUUUUGCUGUCACUUAUAGAUGGAUCCGCGCCGCAUUAGCUAGUUGGUAAGGUAACGGCUUACCAAGGCGACGAUGCGUAGCCGACCUGAGAGGGGGAUCGGCCACACUGGAACUGAGACACGGUCCAGACUCCUACGGGAGGCAGCAGUAGGGAAUCUUCCGCAAUGUGCGAAAGCCUGACGGAGCAACGCCGCGUGAGUGAUGAAGGUCUUCGGAUCGUAAAACUCUGUUAUUAGGGAAGAACAAAUGUGUAAGUAACUAUGCACGUCUUGACGGUACCUAAUCAGAAAGCCACGGCUAACUACGUG
This 497-nucleotide ribosomal RNA is filed under the name uncultured bacterium. Its description in RNAcentral is "partial 16S ribosomal RNA". It matches the Rfam family "Bacterial small subunit ribosomal RNA", at positions 28 to 507 of the family's 1533-position model. The record is from RNAcentral.